AAUGUUGUGAGCCGUCACCAUGGUUGCGGGAUGAAAAAUGUAAAAAUAGCGGGCGCUGCCAUGGGCUUCCAAAAGCUUUCUCAAGGCCCUGUAGGAAGAAGUGUGAGAUGGAGAGAGAGGAAAACAGUGUGCAGGCUUCCAUCGUGUAACUGAAGGAGAUUGAGUUGCCUCUUCUCCAGAGAGAGCGGCGGGCACGGCCUAGCACCAGAAUGAUUAAGCCGCAGGUCUGACCUUCCUCUAAAAGGUCACAGACAGCUGUUAUAGUGAAAGAACAGCCUAUGCUGGGAAACUGGGUCUGCCAGAUAUACGUUGAUUCUGUGUGGUGUAACUUAGACCGGUGUCUAAAACUGCACGGCAACACAUCGAUGCAAUACACAACAUUUUAAUUUCAA
This is a long non-coding RNA of Triplophysa dalaica, 392 nucleotides long. RefSeq lists it as uncharacterized. The record is from RefSeq and is a predicted model, not a curated record. The transcript is spliced from 3 exons. Lineage: Eukaryota; Metazoa; Chordata; Actinopteri; Cypriniformes; Nemacheilidae.